Molecule: transfer RNA, 79 nt
Filed under: Candidatus Omnitrophota bacterium
Lineage: Bacteria; Pseudomonadati; Candidatus Omnitrophota
Description: tRNA-Asp
Rfam family: tRNA
About the family: Transfer RNA (tRNA) molecules are approximately 80 nucleotides in length. Their secondary structure includes four short double-helical elements and three loops (D, anti-codon, and T loops).
Source: RNAcentral
GGGGCUGUAGCCUAGUCUGGUUCAUGGCGCCACCCUGUCACGGUGGAGACCACGGGUCCAAAUCCCGUCAGCCCCGCCA